UGUGUGUGUGUUUUGGUAUUAGUUAGAUGCAUGGUUUUUGUAUCAAAUUUCACCACACUGUAGCUUUCCUUCUACUAGCAGUCAAUGGAGAAAAAAAAAAGUUUAUUUUCCUCCAGUUUUUCUUGAAAAUCAAUUUUUGUUGGUAUUAAAAUGUGACCUUCUUUUAUAUAUGCUAGAUUACACCACUGUAAAUAACCCUUUGGCCUUUGUUAAAUUCUGGUAUAUAUCAUCUAUAACACGUGAUGACCUUCAACUUGAACCCAUCAUCCUUUACAUAAAUGCUGGUCCAAUAUAAUGAUGUACUAGCAAUUAUAAUCUAAAGAAAG
Molecule: unclassified non-coding RNA, 326 nt
Filed under: Hevea brasiliensis (rubber tree)
Lineage: Eukaryota; Viridiplantae; Streptophyta; Magnoliopsida; Malpighiales; Euphorbiaceae
Source: RNAcentral